AUCGAACGCUGGCGGCAGGCCUAAUACAUGCAAGUCGAACGAGUGGCGGACGGGCGAGCAAUUUCUGGGCAACUGCCUGACGUAGGGGGCUAACUACUGGAAACGGUAGCUAAUACUGCAUACCAUCAGUUGUGCCCAGAUGGGAUUAGAUUGUUGGUGGGGUAACGGCUCACCAAGGCGACGAUCCCCAGCUGGUCGGAGAGGAUGACCAGCCAAAAGGGGACGGCGACACGGUCGAGACUCCUACGGGAGGCAGCAGUGGGGAAUAUUGCACAAGGGGCGAAAGGCGGAUGCAGCCAUGCCGCGUGUGUGAAGAAGGCCUUCGGGUUGUAAAGUACUGUCAGCAGGGAGGCGUUACCCGCAGAAGAAGCAACGGCUAACUCCGGGCCAGCCGCCGCGGUAAUAC
This 406-nucleotide ribosomal RNA is filed under the name uncultured bacterium. RNAcentral describes it as "partial 16S ribosomal RNA". It matches the Rfam family "Bacterial small subunit ribosomal RNA", at positions 29 to 526 of the family's 1533-position model. The record is from RNAcentral.